This 254-nucleotide ribosomal RNA is filed under the name uncultured bacterium. Its description in RNAcentral is "partial 16S ribosomal RNA". It matches the Rfam family "Bacterial small subunit ribosomal RNA", at positions 524 to 776 of the family's 1533-position model. The record is from RNAcentral.
UACGUAGGGUGCAAGCGUUGUCCGGAAUUAUUGGGCGUAAAGAGCUCGUAGGUGGCCUGUCGCGUCGGCUGUGAAAACUCGGGGCUCAACUCCGAGCUUGCAGUCGAUACGGCAGGCUAGAGUUCGGCAGGGGAGACUGGAAUUCCGUGGUGUAGCGGUGAAAUGCGCAGAUAUCAGGAGGAACACCGGUGGCGAAGGCGGGUCUCUGGGCCGAUACUGACGCUGAGGAGCGAAAGCGUGGGGGGAGCAACAGG